This 119-nucleotide ribosomal RNA is filed under the name Pteropus alecto (black flying fox). The record is from RNAcentral. Lineage: Eukaryota; Metazoa; Chordata; Mammalia; Chiroptera; Pteropodidae.
GUCUACGGCCAUGCUACCCUGAACAAGCCCGAUCCUGUCUGAUUUCUGAAGCUAAGCAGGGUCGGGCCGGGUUAGUACUUGGAUGGGAGACCAACUAGGAAGACCAGGUGCUGUAGGUG